This is a transfer RNA of Camelus ferus (Wild Bactrian camel), 72 nucleotides long. It matches the Rfam family "tRNA". From Rfam's summary of the family: Transfer RNA (tRNA) molecules are approximately 80 nucleotides in length. Their secondary structure includes four short double-helical elements and three loops (D, anti-codon, and T loops). NCBI's taxonomy places the organism in Eukaryota, Metazoa, Chordata, Mammalia, Artiodactyla, Camelidae. The record is from Rfam.
GAGGGUAUAGCUCAGUAGUAGAGCAUAUGCUUAGCAUGUAUGAGGCCCUGGGUUCAAUCCCUAGUACCUCCA